GAUGAACGCUGGCGGCGUGCCUAAUACAUGCAAGUCGAGCGAACGGACUAGAAGCUUGCUUCUCUGAUGUUAGCGGCGGACGGGUGAGUAACACGUGGAUAACCUACCUAUAAGACUGGGAUAACUUCGGGAAACCGUAGCUAAUACCGGAUAAUAUUUUGAACCGCAUGGUUCAAAAGUGAAAGACGGUCUUGCUGUCACUUAUAGAUGGAUCCGCGCUGCAUUAGCUAGUUGGUAAGGUAACGGCUUACCAAGGCAACGAUGCAUAGCCGACCUGAGAGGGUGAUCGGCCGCACUGGAACUGAGACACGGUCCAGACUCCUACGGGAGGCAGCAGUAGGGAAUCUUCCGCAAUGGGCGAAAGCCUGACGGAGCAACGCCGCGUGAGUGAUGAAGGUCUUCGGAUCGUAAAACUCUGUUAUUAGGGAAGAACAUAUGUGUAAGUAACUGUGCACAUCUUGACGGUACCUAAUCAGAAAGCCACGGCUAACUACGUG
This 497-nucleotide ribosomal RNA is filed under the name uncultured bacterium. RNAcentral describes it as "partial 16S ribosomal RNA". It matches the Rfam family "Bacterial small subunit ribosomal RNA", at positions 28 to 507 of the family's 1533-position model. The record is from RNAcentral.